This 72-nucleotide transfer RNA is filed under the name Loxodonta africana (African savanna elephant). It matches the Rfam family "tRNA". Rfam says of the family: Transfer RNA (tRNA) molecules are approximately 80 nucleotides in length. Their secondary structure includes four short double-helical elements and three loops (D, anti-codon, and T loops). Further hydrogen bonds mediate the characteristic L-shaped molecular structure. tRNAs have two regions of fundamental functional importance: the anti-codon, which is responsible for specific mRNA codon recognition, and the 3' end, to which the tRNAs corresponding amino acid is attached (by aminoacyl-tRNA synthetases). tRNAs cope with the degeneracy of the genetic code in two manners: having more than one tRNA (with a specific anti-codon) for a particular amino acid; and 'wobble' base-pairing, i.e. permitting non-standard base-pairing at the 3rd anti-codon position. The record is from Rfam by way of RNAcentral. Lineage: Eukaryota; Metazoa; Chordata; Mammalia; Proboscidea; Elephantidae.
GCCCUGGUGGUGCAAUGGGUAAGCACUUGGCUGAUAACCCAAAGGUUGGUGGUUCGAACUCACCCAGCGGCU